GGGGGUAUAGCUCAGUGGUAGAGCAUAUGUUUAGCACAUGUGGGGUCCUGGGUCCAAUCCCCAGUACCUCCA
This 72-nucleotide transfer RNA is filed under the name Camelus bactrianus (Bactrian camel). It matches the Rfam family "tRNA". From Rfam's summary of the family: Transfer RNA (tRNA) molecules are approximately 80 nucleotides in length. Lineage: Eukaryota; Metazoa; Chordata; Mammalia; Artiodactyla; Camelidae. RNAcentral also lists the same sequence under 2 other names. The record is from Rfam by way of RNAcentral.